This 253-nucleotide ribosomal RNA is filed under the name uncultured bacterium. Its description in RNAcentral is "partial 16S ribosomal RNA". It matches the Rfam family "Bacterial small subunit ribosomal RNA", at positions 524 to 776 of the family's 1533-position model. The record is from RNAcentral.
UACAGAGGUCUCAAGCGUUGUUCGGAUUCAUUGGGCGUAAAGGGUGCGUAGGCGGGUCUUUAAGUCAGGGGUGAAAUCCUGGAGCUCAACUCCAGAACUGCCUUUGAUACUGAGGAUCUUGAGUUCGGGAGAGGUGAGUGGAACUGCGAGUGUAGAGGUGAAAUUCGUAGAUGUUCGCAAGAACACCAGUGGCGAAGGCGGCUCACUGGCCCGAUACUGACGCUGAGGCACGAAAGCGUGGGGAGCAAACAGG